This 124-nucleotide ribosomal RNA is filed under the name Torulaspora delbrueckii. The record is from RNAcentral. Lineage: Eukaryota; Fungi; Ascomycota; Saccharomycetes; Saccharomycetales; Saccharomycetaceae.
GGUUGCGGCCAUAUCUACCAGAAAGCACCGUUUCCCGUCCGAUCAACUGUAGUUAAGCUGGUAAGAGCCUGACCGAGUAGUGUAGUGGGUGACCAUACGCGAAACUCAGGUGCUGCAAUCUUAU